This is a non-coding RNA of Nomia melanderi (Alkali bee), 1095 nucleotides long. The record is from RefSeq and is a predicted model, not a curated record. NCBI's taxonomy places the organism in Eukaryota, Metazoa, Arthropoda, Insecta, Hymenoptera, Halictidae.
GACAGGUUGUCCGCAGACGCGGAUCGACGUCUCGUUCGACGCACAGAUGUUCUCGGCGUCUCCUUGAUGAAGAAGGAAGACCAUGCUGUUGCUGGACGAUGACUUCCGGUUCCUGCCCGCGGAACAACAUGGGCUGCCGCAAGGACGUUUCACGGCACCGACGGUGCGCGGUCGUGAAGUAGAUCCUUGACAGACGUGACCUAUUGAUCUCGCGGAUCGCUGAGCUACAUGCACUGUGUCCAUGGUGGGGUAAAAACAUUUGUUUUUUGAUAGCUGCUUUUAGUUUCGUUUUUGUUGUAAAUUUAUGUGUGCAACGUAUUUGAAGAUCGAGUGUUUUGUAGAUUGUUGGAUUGUAUUGGAACGCAUUGACAAUUGGUUUGGUUAUAUUUUUUGAAUGAAUGAUUUGGAAAAAGGAAUUUACCUCCCUCAAGAAUAACGGACACGCUGUAUGUAGUCAUGAGACAUGAUAGCGAACCGGUACAAAUUUAGAAAGGCCAAGUUACCAAAGUCGCAGAAACAGGCACAAUAUAUGAAGAUUCAUGCGAACUUAAAAUACUUGGCUUCAGCUUUCAAUUGUUGACUCUGAAACGAUGACUCAUUGGUAUCUCGAAGCAAUAAAAGUUAAGACAUUACAUAUCGUUUGUCGCAAUGAAUACAUUGCAGAUUGCACCACCGACUGCAAUAAAAAAAUAGGCACGAACAAGGAAAGAAAAGUUGUUACAAAAUCUUGUGAUAAAAUGGAUCUCGAUGAGGAUAUGUUCAUAAUUAAAUAAAUAGACAAAUUUUCACUAACGUGUUAUCAGUAGGACAAGGAGUACAAGGGGUGCAACACGGAAUUGGCGGUGAACGCAACACCCUCAAUGCUUCAACGUUCAAGCAAGAAACCCCUCUCAACAACGCUCGUUGUAUCGCGUUUUCGUAUUCAGCGCGUUCCUUCACAAUACGCUGGUUUUCUUUCUUUAGUCGUGUUAUUUCUGCUUCGAGCUGCUCGACACGAUCAUUUAUAAUUUAUAUUUCCGAAUACACACUUCGCAGAGAUAAAUAUUUUAGUGAACAUCCUCUGAAUCAUACCUCAAUUUCCCGUCGCAUUCUUUC